AGAGUUUGAUCCUGGCUCAGGACGAACGCUGGCGGCGCGUCUUAAGCAUGCAAGUCGAACGGCAAGGCAGGUGCUUGCACCUGCCCUAGAGUGGCGGACUGGUGAGUAACACGUGGGUGACAUGCCUUUUAGUUGGGGAUAGCUACUAGAAAUAGUAGAUAAUACCGAAUGUGAUCAAUAUUUAUAGAUGAUGUUGAGGAAAGGAGCCAAGGCUUCGCUAAAAGAUUGGCCCGCGGCCCAUUAGCUUGUUGGUGAGGUAACGGCUCACCAAGACAACGACGGGUAGCGGGACUGAGAGGUUGGCCCGCCAUAUCGGGACUGAGACACUGCCCGGACCUCCACGGAGGGCUGCAGUAACGAAUAUUGGGCAAUGGGCGAAAGCCUGACCCAGCGACGCCGCGUGCAGGAUGAAUCCCCUCGGGGUGUAAACUGCUGUCAGGGAUACGUAAGUGCGCCUUGUGCGCAUUGAACUAGCCCAAAGGAAGUCACGGCUAACUUCGUGCCAGCAGCCGCGGUAAUACGAAGGUGGCUAGCGUUGUUCGGAAUCACUGGGCUUAAAGCGUGCGUAGGCGGAUUAUCAAGUGUCCUUUGAAAUCCCACGGCUCAACCGUGGAACUGGGGGGCAAACUGGUAGUCUUGAGGCAGUUAGGGGUGGGUGGAACUCUUGGUGGAGCGGUGGAAUGCGUAGAUAUCAAGAGGAACGCCAGAGGUGAAACCGACCCACUGGGACUGUCCUGACGCUGAGGUACGAAAGCGUGGGUAGCGAACGGGAUUAGAUACCCCGGUAGUCCACGCUGUAAACGAUGUGUACUAAACCAUGGUGCUCUGACUGCAUCGUGGUUGUAGCAAAAGUAUUAAGUACACCGCCUGGGGAGUACGGUCGCAAGGCUAAAACUCAAAGGAAUUGACGGGGGCUCACACAAGCGGUGGAGCAUGUGGAUUAAUUCGAAGCAACGCGCAGAACCUUACCUGGGUUUGACAUGUUUGGAUGUCUUACCGGAAACGGAUAAGACUGCCUCCUUCGGGAGGUGAAACUUACACAGGUGCUGCAUGGCUGUCGUCAGCUCGUGUCGUGAGAUGUUGGGUUAAGUCCUUAAACGAGCGAAACCCUUACCGUUAGUUACCAUCAGGUUAUGCUGGGGACUCUAGCGGGACUGCCGGUGUUAAACCGGAGGAAGGUGGGGAUGACGUCAAGUCCUCAUGGCCUUUAUGCCCAGGGCUUCACACGUGCUACAAUGGUAAUGACAGAGCGAUGCGAUACCGCGAGGUGGAGCAAAUCGCAUAAACAUUGCCUCAGUUCGGAUUGCAGGCUGACAACUCGCCUGCAUGAAGUUGGAAUCGCUAGUAAUCGCGUAUCAGCUAUGACGCGGUGAAUAUGUUC
RNAcentral lists this ribosomal RNA (1381 nucleotides) under uncultured bacterium. RNAcentral's name for it is "16S ribosomal RNA". It matches the Rfam family "Bacterial small subunit ribosomal RNA", at positions 8 to 1373 of the family's 1533-position model. The record is from RNAcentral.